CCUACGGGAGGCAGCAGUGGGGAAUAUUGGGCAAUGGGCGCAAGCCUGACCCAGCAACGCCGCGUGAAGGAAGAAGGCUUUCGGGUUGUAAACUUCUUUUCUCAGGGACGAAGAAAGUGACGGUACCUGAGGAAUAAGCCACGGCUAACUACGUGCCAGCAGCCGCGGUAAUACGUAGGUGGCAAGCGUUAUCCGGAUUUAUUGGGUGUAAAGGGCGUGUAGGCGGGGGCGCAAGUCAGAUGUGAAAACUCAGGGCUCAACCCUGAGCCUGCAUUUGAAACUGUGUUUCUUGAGUGCUGGGGAGGCAAUCGGAAUUCCGUGUGUAGCGGUGAAAUGCGUAGAUAUACGGAGGAACACCAGUGGCGAAGGCGGAUUGCUGGACAGUAACUGACGCUGAGGCGCGAAAGCGUGGGGAGCAAACAGGAUUAGAUACCCCAGUAGUC
RNAcentral lists this ribosomal RNA (443 nucleotides) under uncultured bacterium. Its description in RNAcentral is "partial 16S ribosomal RNA". It matches the Rfam family "Bacterial small subunit ribosomal RNA", at positions 338 to 795 of the family's 1533-position model. The record is from RNAcentral.